AACGAACGCUGGCGGCAGGCCUAACACAUGCAAGUCGAACGCACCGCAAGGUGAGUGGCGCACGGGUGAGUAACACGUGGGAAUGUACCCUUUGGUUCGGAAUAACGUUUGGAAACGAACGCUAAUACCGGAUGAGCCCUGUGGGGGAAAGAUUUAUCGCCAAAGGAGCAGCCCGCGUCUGAUUAGCUAGUUGGUGGGGUAAAGGCCUACCAAGGCGACGAUCAGUAGCUGGUCUGAGAGGAUGAUCAGCCACACUGGGACUGAGACACGGCCCAGACUCCUACGGGAGGCAGCAGUGGGGAAUAUUGGACAAUGGGCGGAAGCCUGAUCCAGCCAUGCCGCGUGAGUGAUGAAGGCCUCGGGUUGUAAGCUCUUUCGCACGCGACGAUGAUGACGGUAGCGUGAGAAGAAGCCCCGGCUAACUUCGUGCCAGCAGCCGCGGUAAU
This 446-nucleotide ribosomal RNA is filed under the name uncultured bacterium. Its description in RNAcentral is "bacterial SSU rRNA". It matches the Rfam family "Bacterial small subunit ribosomal RNA", at positions 29 to 524 of the family's 1533-position model. The record is from RNAcentral.